GAUGAACGCUAGCGGCAGGCCUAAUACAUGCAAGUCGAGGGGCAGCGCGGUAGCAAUACUGGCGGCGACCGGCGCACGGGUGCGUAACACGUAUGCAACCUACCUUCAACUGGAGGAUAGCCCGGGGAAACUCGGAUUAAUACUCCAUAACACAGGGAUCCCGCAAUGGGAAUAUUGUUAAAGCUACGGCGUUGAAGAUGGGCAUGCGUUCGAUUAGCUAGUUGGUGUAGGUAACGGCUCACCAAGGCUACGAUCGAUAGGGGGUCUGAGAGGAUGAUCCCCCACACUGGUACUGAGAUACGGACCAGACUCCUACGGGAGGCAGCAGUAGGGAAUAUU
RNAcentral lists this ribosomal RNA (339 nucleotides) under uncultured bacterium. RNAcentral's name for it is "bacterial SSU rRNA". It matches the Rfam family "Bacterial small subunit ribosomal RNA", at positions 28 to 365 of the family's 1533-position model. The record is from RNAcentral.